GGGGAUGUUGCUCAGUGGUAGAGCACUUGCCUAGCAUGUAUGAGGCACUGGGUUCAAUUCUCAGUACCA
RNAcentral lists this transfer RNA (69 nucleotides) under Ictidomys tridecemlineatus (thirteen-lined ground squirrel). RNAcentral describes it as "Spermophilus tridecemlineatus (thirteen-lined ground squirrel) tRNA". It matches the Rfam family "tRNA". Rfam says of the family: Transfer RNA (tRNA) molecules are approximately 80 nucleotides in length. Their secondary structure includes four short double-helical elements and three loops (D, anti-codon, and T loops). Further hydrogen bonds mediate the characteristic L-shaped molecular structure. tRNAs have two regions of fundamental functional importance: the anti-codon, which is responsible for specific mRNA codon recognition, and the 3' end, to which the tRNAs corresponding amino acid is attached (by aminoacyl-tRNA synthetases). tRNAs cope with the degeneracy of the genetic code in two manners: having more than one tRNA (with a specific anti-codon) for a particular amino acid; and 'wobble' base-pairing, i.e. permitting non-standard base-pairing at the 3rd anti-codon position. The record is from Rfam by way of RNAcentral. Lineage: Eukaryota; Metazoa; Chordata; Mammalia; Rodentia; Sciuridae.